GACAGAGGGUGCAAACGUUGCUCGGAAUUACUGGGCGUAAAGCGCGUGUAGGCGGCUUCGCACGUCCGAUGUGAAAGCCCAGGGCUCAACCCUGGAAGUGCAUUGGAUACGACGGAGCUGGAGUGCUGAAGAGGAGAGCGGAACUCCCGGUGUAGAGGUGAAAUUCGUAGAUAUCGGGAAGAACACCAGUGGCGAAGGCGGCUCUCUGGGCAGACACUGACGCUGAGACGCGAAAGCGUGGGGAGCAAACAGGAUUAGAUACCCUGGUAGUCCACGCUGUAAACGAUGAGAACUGGGUGUUGCGGGUAUUGACCCCCGCGGUGCCGAAGCCAACGCGUUAAGUUCUCCGCCUGGGAAGUACGGCCGCAAGGCUAAA
Molecule: ribosomal RNA, 376 nt
Filed under: uncultured bacterium
Lineage: Bacteria
Description: bacterial SSU rRNA
Rfam family: Bacterial small subunit ribosomal RNA
Source: RNAcentral